UACGUAGGGUGCGAGCGUUGUCCGGAAUUAUUGGGCGUAAAGAGCUCGUAGGCGGUGUGUCACGUCGGCCGUGAAAACCUGCAGCUUAACUGUGGGCGUGCGGUCGAUACGGGCAUCACUGGAGUUCGGCAGGGGAGACUGGAAUUCCUGGUGUAGCGGUGAAAUGCGCAGAUAUCAGGAGGAACACCGGUGGCGAAGGCGGGUCUCUGGGCCUUACCUGACGCUGAGGAGCGAAAGCAUGGGGAGCAAGCAGG
RNAcentral lists this ribosomal RNA (254 nucleotides) under uncultured bacterium. RNAcentral's name for it is "partial 16S ribosomal RNA". It matches the Rfam family "Bacterial small subunit ribosomal RNA", at positions 524 to 776 of the family's 1533-position model. The record is from RNAcentral.